UACGGAGGAUGCGAGCGUUAUCCGGAUUUAUUGGGUUUAAAGGGUGCGUAGGCGGAUUAAUAAGUCAGGGGUGAAAUCUCACAGCUCAACUGUGAAACUGCCUUUGAUACUGUUAGUCUUGAGUGUAAACAAGGUGGGCGGAAUGUGUAAUGUAGCGGUGAAAUGCUUAGAUAUUACCCAGAAGACCGAUUGCGAAGGCAGCUCACUGGCAUACAACUGACGCUGAUGCACGAAAGCGUGGGGAGCGAACAGG
RNAcentral lists this ribosomal RNA (253 nucleotides) under uncultured bacterium. Its description in RNAcentral is "partial 16S ribosomal RNA". It matches the Rfam family "Bacterial small subunit ribosomal RNA", at positions 524 to 776 of the family's 1533-position model. The record is from RNAcentral.